CGAUCUUGUAGCAAGAACUGAG
RNAcentral lists this microRNA (22 nucleotides) under Oryza sativa (Asian cultivated rice). Its description in RNAcentral is "osa-miR1861c". Lineage: Eukaryota; Viridiplantae; Streptophyta; Magnoliopsida; Poales; Poaceae. RNAcentral also lists the same sequence under 1 other name. The record is from miRBase by way of RNAcentral.